UUGGAGUCCGAACUCUCACUUUCUAACCCUGUGCACUUGUUUGGGAUAGUAACUCUCGCAAGAGAGCGAACUCCUAUUCACUUAUAAACACAAAGUCUAUGAAUGUAUUAAAUUUUAUAACAAAAUAAAACUUUCAACAACGGAUCUCUUGGCUCUCGCAUCGAUGAAGAACGCAGCGAAAUGCGAUAAGUAAUGUGAAUUGCAGAAUUCAGUGAAUCAUCGAAUCUUUGAACGCACCUUGCGCUCCAUGGUAUUCCGUGGAGCAUGCCUGUUUGAGUGUCAUGAAUACUUCAACCCUCCUCUUUCUUAAUGAUUGAAGAGGUGUUUGGUUUCUGAGCGCUGCUGGCCUUUACGGUCUAGCUCGUUCGUAAUGCAUUAGCAUCCGCAAUCGAACUUCGGAUUGACUUGGCGUAAUAGACUAUUCGCUGAGGAAUUCUAGUCUUCGGAUUAGAGCCGGGUUGGGUUAAAGGAAGCUUCUAAUCAGAAUGUCUACAUUUUAAGAUUAGAUCUCAAAUCAGGUAGGACUACCCGCUGAACUUAAGCAUAUCAAUA
Molecule: ribosomal RNA, 552 nt
Filed under: Rhodotorula mucilaginosa
Lineage: Eukaryota; Fungi; Basidiomycota; Microbotryomycetes; Sporidiobolales; Sporidiobolaceae
Description: eukaryotic LSU rRNA
Rfam family: 5.8S ribosomal RNA (bases 129-282)
Source: RNAcentral